This 395-nucleotide ribosomal RNA is filed under the name uncultured bacterium. Its description in RNAcentral is "partial 16S ribosomal RNA". It matches the Rfam family "Bacterial small subunit ribosomal RNA", at positions 338 to 730 of the family's 1533-position model. The record is from RNAcentral.
CCUACGGGUGGCUGCAGUGAGGAAUAUUGGUCAAUGGACGGAAGUCUGAACCAGCCAUGCCGCGUGCAGGAAGACGGCUCUAUGAGUUGUAAACUGCUUUUGUACAAGGGUAAACCUGAAUACGUGUAUUCAGCUGAAAGUACUGUACGAAUAAGGAUCGGCUAACUCCGUGCCAGCAGCCGCGGUAAUACGGAGGAUCCAAGCGUUAUCCGGAUUUAUUGGGUUUAAAGGGUGCGUAGGCGGAUUGAUAAGUUAGAGGUGAAAUGUCCGAGCUUAACUCGGGAACUGCCUCUAAUACUGUUGAUCUAGAGUGGGGGUGAGGUAUGCGGAAGGUGUGGUGUAGCGGUGAAAUGCUUAGAUAUCAUGCAGAACACCGAUUGCGAAGGAAGCUUACC